This 497-nucleotide ribosomal RNA is filed under the name uncultured bacterium. RNAcentral describes it as "partial 16S ribosomal RNA". It matches the Rfam family "Bacterial small subunit ribosomal RNA", at positions 28 to 507 of the family's 1533-position model. The record is from RNAcentral.
GACGAACGCUGGCGGCGUGCCUAAUACAUGCAAGUUGAGCGCUGAAGGUUGGUACUUGUACCGACUGGAUGAGCAGCGAACGGGUGAGUAACGCGUGGGGAAUCUGCCUUUGAGCGGGGGACAACAUUUGGAAACGAAUGCUAAUACCGCAUAAAAACUUUAAACACAAGUUUUAAGUUUGAAAGAUGCAAUUGCAUCACUCAAAGAUGAUCCCGCGUUGUAUUAGCUAGUUGGUGAGGUAAAGGCUCACCAAGGCGAUGAUACAUAGCCGACCUGAGAGGGUGAUCGGCCACAUUGGGACGGAGACACGGCCCAAACUCCUACGGGAGGCAGCAGUAGGGAAUCGUCGGCAAUGGACGAAAGUCUGACCGAGCAACGCCGCGGGAGGGAAGAAGGUUUUCGGAUCGUAAAACUCUGUUGGUAGAGAAGAACGUUGGUGAGAGUGGAAAGCUCAUCAAGUGACGGUAACUACCCAGAAAGGGACGGCUAACUACGUG